This is a long non-coding RNA of Helianthus annuus (common sunflower), 580 nucleotides long. RefSeq lists it as uncharacterized. The transcript is spliced from 4 exons. Lineage: Eukaryota; Viridiplantae; Streptophyta; Magnoliopsida; Asterales; Asteraceae. The record is from RefSeq and is a predicted model, not a curated record.
UCUGUACCUACUCUCUUUACCUAUAUGCCGAAAAUCUCAAAUUCUUCAGAUCACCCCUGUUUCCCCUUGGCCUCUUCCCUCUUUCCGACGAUUGCAACAACAGAACAUCAACAACAAUCUUCAAUAAUCACGUCUGGUGCUCCGGUGACUGGCAACCCCGCUUUUAAUCAGGUCGGUGAUAUGGAGGCAGAUCGGGUCGUCGGUUCUACAUCAAUACCCCUGUAUUUGGAAUCCUUCUAAUUCGAUCAAUAAUACUUGAAUUUCGUUCUAGAAUCCAGAUUAUGACUAUCAUCUUCUACAUUUCAAGAUUAAGGGAGAUGGAAAAUAUUAAAAAUAAACGUUUACAGGCGUUAAAAAAUUUUGGAGCUGAAAAAAUCUUUGAUGCUAAUCAAUGGGUACAAGCACACAAACAUGAAUUUAAGAAGGAGGUGUAUGGGCCUGCAUUAACUGAGGUUACUUCAUGUUGGGUUUUGAAUUUUCAGUAUGGAUAUGUUUUUAUUAUUUAUUUUCUUAAAUUGAUUUUUAAUCAUGCUUCAGGUCAAUACGGGUUGAACAGCAACACGAGUUGUUAAUAUUAUGA